GGCACAGUGCCAGAGUGGUUAAUGGGUCAGACUUGAAUUUUCCUCAAGUUUAUCUGAUGGCUUCGGCCUCGCAAGUUCGAAUCUUGUCUGUGUCG
RNAcentral lists this transfer RNA (95 nucleotides) under Mytilinidion resinicola. Its description in RNAcentral is "tRNA-Ser". It matches the Rfam family "tRNA". From Rfam's summary of the family: Transfer RNA (tRNA) molecules are approximately 80 nucleotides in length. Their secondary structure includes four short double-helical elements and three loops (D, anti-codon, and T loops). Further hydrogen bonds mediate the characteristic L-shaped molecular structure. tRNAs have two regions of fundamental functional importance: the anti-codon, which is responsible for specific mRNA codon recognition, and the 3' end, to which the tRNAs corresponding amino acid is attached (by aminoacyl-tRNA synthetases). tRNAs cope with the degeneracy of the genetic code in two manners: having more than one tRNA (with a specific anti-codon) for a particular amino acid; and 'wobble' base-pairing, i.e. permitting non-standard base-pairing at the 3rd anti-codon position. The record is from RNAcentral. Lineage: Eukaryota; Fungi; Ascomycota; Dothideomycetes; Mytilinidiales; Mytilinidiaceae.